CCUCUCCUUAGCUUCCCCAUCUUUUGCCUGUGCUUUGUAGUUUUUUGGCUUUGCUUCAGCUGCAUUCAAGAUGCCCUCCAAAACAAAUAACCAAGACUCCAACAUGUUUAGAAAACGUACAAGACAUUUAUCGCUCUGGGAGGCACCCACUGCCAAACUUGGUUGUUCAUGCCCAGCGCUCCUCUCUAGGGGCAGAACGACUUUUGUUCAACUGUGAACAGCCUUAUAAACAAGACUGAUCUGUGAAUACAGAAGUGGAUCCUCAAAGCCUCUGCUCAAAUUGUGGUCAGACUAGUCUGGAGGGCAUUUGGACUGAAGUCCAGUCUCACACAGAGUUUCUGGCAUCAUCCCAGUCGUUCCUGCUUCCUGAGCUGCUUUCAGGUUCAACUCUGGUCACAUGUUCUGCACUGAGAGCUGGCUAUGCCCCCCUCCCCGCCUACCACCACCACCACACCUAGCUUCUCUGCCUCUCUCUAAAAUGUUGUCGUGGUGAAGAAGGUAAGAAGUCAAGGACUUCACGUGUCAAGGAGGCAAAAACAGGUUGUUGGAUGAAAGAUCAAGGGACAGUGAAUACAUUUCACUUAGCGCUCAUGGCCAUGAGGGGUCAACUUGCUUCAAGAAGGUAUCUGGGUACACUAGUGCUCUUGGAUCAUCUUAAUUCAAUUUCAAGGACUAGGAUUUUCUGUACCACCCAGAUUAUUUGAAUCUGUGCUACAAUCCACUUGAGGACUUACUGUUUUUCAGUAUUUCUUCCUUCUGGGUCUCCAAGACUUAAUGGUUUGCCAGAGCAUCCCACACAUGGAAAAUGUUUCCUGAUAUUUCAGCUAGUGACUGAUUUCAUCAUUCUUUUAUCUGAGGAUGGAGGAAGCCUGAAGCCCAUCUGUGUCAUCAAGAUCCACUCAGACAGUAGCAACCAUUCCAGCUUUUCAGAAGAGAAAAUUUAGUAGCUGGAGGAUCAAUGAAAAAAGGAUGAAAUUACUAAAGCAUAGAAUCUUGGAAGAAGACUUAAUGGUUUGCCAGAGCAUCCCACACAUGCUGCAUGGUUGUUUACCAGGCAAAUGACCCGUGGAAUUGCAGAGCUGAGAAUCAGAAAAUCUGGCACUGCACAUCGAAUAUGGUCUUCUCUCAAUGUUUAUCUUAAUCAUACCUCAUCUGUGUCAAAGUGUGGGCGGAGAGCUAGAGGAGGCUUGAAGCACCCUGGCAUGUCACGGUACUCCAGUCAAGUCCUAUCAGUGGCUCUCUAGCCAGGAGCCACCAUGUACAUGGCUCUGAGCUGGACCUCGCAUGGGCUGCAGACAUGCACAGCCGGAGGUCCUAUCCCCUGAAAUCUGGCAUUCUUCUGGGGCAAAGAAGUCAGAUUGUGCAUAAUUAUAA
Long non-coding RNA from Canis lupus familiaris (dog), 1374 nucleotides. RefSeq lists it as uncharacterized. The transcript has 7 exons. The record is from RefSeq and is a predicted model, not a curated record. Lineage: Eukaryota; Metazoa; Chordata; Mammalia; Carnivora; Canidae.